RNAcentral lists this small RNA (218 nucleotides) under Hyphomicrobiales bacterium. RNAcentral's name for it is "BjrC174". It matches the Rfam family "Bradyrhizobiaceae sRNA BjrC174". The record is from RNAcentral. Lineage: Bacteria; Pseudomonadati; Pseudomonadota; Alphaproteobacteria; Hyphomicrobiales.
AUUAUAAAUCGCAAAAUCCACAUUUCCGCCGCAGAGAGGCCCAGCGGCGGCCCAACUGCGCAGCGAUAAAGUUCAUGUUGCCUUGGUGGCUCGGUAUCUCUUGGUGCCGGAAUACGUCAGCCCCCCAGCCCCCCGGUGUCAGGGGAAUGCCGGGCCACUUGGCAACGCGUAACGAGUACCUGACUUAAAAAAGGCCGGCGUUCAGCGCCGGCCUUUUC